This 443-nucleotide ribosomal RNA is filed under the name uncultured Christensenellaceae bacterium. RNAcentral's name for it is "bacterial SSU rRNA". It matches the Rfam family "Bacterial small subunit ribosomal RNA", at positions 338 to 795 of the family's 1533-position model. Lineage: Bacteria; Bacillati; Bacillota; Clostridia; Christensenellales; Christensenellaceae. The record is from RNAcentral.
CCUACGGGCGGCUGCAGUGGGGAAUAUUGGGCAAUGGGGGGAACCCUGACCCAGCAACGCCGCGUGAGGGAAGAAGGCCUUCGGGUUGUAAACCUCUGUCAUUAGGGAAGAAGAAAGUGACGGUACCUAAUGAGGAAGCCCCGGCUAACUACGUGCCAGCAGCCGCGGUAAUACGUAGGGGGCGAGCGUUGUCCGGAAUUACUGGGCGUAAAGGGUGCGCAGGCGGCUAUUUAAGUUGGAUGUGAAAUACCCGGGCUUAACCUGGGGGGUGCAUUCAAAACUGGGUAGCUAGAGUGCAGGAGAGGGAAGCGGAAUUCCUAGUGUAGCGGUGAAAUGCGUAGAUAUUAGGAGGAACACCAGUGGCGAAGGCGGCUUUCUGGACUGUAACUGACGCUGAGGCACGAAAGCGUGGGGAGCAAACAGGCUUAGAUACCCGGGUAGUC